CGGGUGAGUAACACGUGAGCAACCUGCCCCGAAGACCGGGAUAGCCCGGGGAAACCCGGAUUAAUACCGGAUACCCUGCUCGGAUCUCAUGAUCUGAUCAGGAAAGGCUUCUGCGCUUCGGGAUGGGCUCGCGGCCUAUCAGCUAGUUGGUGGGGUAAAGGCCUACCAAGGCAUCGACGGGUAGCUGGUCUGAGAGGACGAUCAGCCACACUGGGACUGAGACACGGCCCAG
Molecule: ribosomal RNA, 232 nt
Filed under: uncultured bacterium
Lineage: Bacteria
Description: partial 16S ribosomal RNA
Rfam family: Bacterial small subunit ribosomal RNA
Source: RNAcentral